UGGACCUGUCGGCCUGGAGGGAGGGGUGUUCAGGUGAAACAGCACAGCACCAGACUCUUUGACCUCAGGGCAGGGGGGGCGGCACCAUUUUCACAAUCAUUUGUCACCCACUGUUUAACCUCGUGUGUUUUAUUUCUUCUCUAACCCACUUGUACGGAAACCGUUCUUCAUGUGUGGUGUUUAAUCUUGCAGACUCGGGUGGUAGCUGUAAUGAAGUCAGUGCAGCAAAGACUGUGAUGGACUCGGAAUCCGCGGACCAAGAGGACCAAGAGGUCCUCCAGGCCCUCAAGGACAACAAGGUUGAGUAGGACCCCCAGGGCCCAGAGGUCCCCCUGGACCAACAUCACUCAACCUUAAUGCUUCACAGCCAAAAUCUGCCUUCUCUGUUCUCCUGGGCAAGUACAUCUCCACCUCAGACAGAAUCAUCCAUUUCCAUCAAAUCAUCUACAACGAACAGAACCAUUACAGCCCAGAGUCUGGUAUGUUUACAUGUGUCAUCCCCGGUGUCUACCAGUUCAGCUUUGUCUGCAUAUCCUACAACGGCGUAGUGAGCAUGACCUGUGGCGUAACAACAGGGUGGUACUGAACAGUUACCACACUUAUCAGGGAGGUCGCCAUUUGGCAUCAGGGGACACGGUGAUGCUGUUGAAGGCGGGAGACAGAGUGUGGGUGGAGGCCAUAGAUGGGAGCAGCAGCUUGAGCAGCAAAAGCUACCUGUCUGGACACCUGGUCUUCACUGUGUGACGCUAACACUUUAUCUCCAGGCUUAAACUUCUAAUACACCGGUGUUCUGUCUGCUUUGGAAUCUCUUUUCAUGACUUCACCUUUUUGUACUAAAAUACACGCACAAAAAUCAGCUUUUAUUGAAUAUCUUAUAAUUUCAUGUAUUAUUUUUUUCUUUUUGGUCUAUGAGGCAGACAUGGGCACAACCCACAAACUCAUGUUUAUGUACAUGUUUUUAUCCUUAUGGAAACAAACAAAUUUUAUUUUUAAUUCAUCAAGCGACCUUAUGAACAUGAAAUAUGAUUGCAGGAAAUCUAUAUUAUUCUGUUACAGCAUGUAGUCUUUCAUCAGUGCCAAAUUUAUAUGAUGGAAUUUGCUGGUGUUAUAAGAGAUAAUUUUAUGCACUGAUGAAAUCAAGCAUGCAUUUUUAAUGCUGUGUUGUGCUUUGACUGUGAGGCUAAUUUUUACUGUAACUUUCAUAUUUAUCUGUAUUUUGCAUUGAAUUAAUAAACUGAACUGCAUUGAA
Long non-coding RNA from Cheilinus undulatus (humphead wrasse), 1249 nucleotides. RefSeq lists it as uncharacterized. The record is from RefSeq and is a predicted model, not a curated record. The transcript is spliced from 3 exons. NCBI's taxonomy places the organism in Eukaryota, Metazoa, Chordata, Actinopteri, Labriformes, Labridae.